GAAGCGAGAGAUUUCCUAUUCUGGAGGAGUGAGCGGACGGCACAAUUGGUCUGGAGACAGACAGAUCGCACCUGCAUUUACAGAAGCAAAUGGAGAAUGUCCUACGUCUACCACACCUCUCACACACACUUGCUCCGCCCCGCCCUAGUUAUCUGUGCCUAACUUGGAGAGUCCUCUACGGAAGUCAUGGAGGUCGUCGAUCUUUCCAUCCAGCACCUCAAGGAAGCUCUUCAGCUCCCCCUUCAGGUCAAGAGGACUGGAGUGAGGAAUCCAUUGGAGGAGGAGAAGAAAACCCCUCGCUUUAUAGAUGGUAACGAGGAAGGCCGAUCUACAGUCAGCACUCUAGCAAGAGCUGGAAGAGGCCAAGGUGGGCUUAUACCUGACCCUGUCUGGACACCAGGGCGACUCCGUGCCCCUCCUCACUGGCUGUGGUUCUGCAGGGGUUUCCUGUGAGUAAGAAACUAUCACCC
RNAcentral lists this long non-coding RNA (470 nucleotides) under Mus musculus (house mouse). Its description in RNAcentral is "predicted gene 44570". The record is from RNAcentral. Lineage: Eukaryota; Metazoa; Chordata; Mammalia; Rodentia; Muridae.